This 507-nucleotide ribosomal RNA is filed under the name uncultured bacterium. Its description in RNAcentral is "partial 16S ribosomal RNA". It matches the Rfam family "Bacterial small subunit ribosomal RNA", at positions 28 to 507 of the family's 1533-position model. The record is from RNAcentral.
GACGAACGCUGGCGGCGUGCCUAAUACAUGCAAGUCGAACGCAUUUUCUUUCACCGUAGCUUGCUACACCGAAAGAAAAUGAGUGGCGAACGGGUGAGUAACACGUGGGUAACCUGCCCAUCAGCGGGGGAUAACACUUGGAAACAGGUGCUAAUACCGCAUAAUUCCAUUUACCGCAUGGUAGAUGGGUGAAAGGCGCUUUUGCGUCACUGAUGGAUGGACCCGCGGUGCAUUAGCUAGUUGGUGGGGUAACGGCCUACCAAGGCUGCGAUGCAUAGCCGACCUGAGAGGGUGAUCGGCCACACUGGGACUGAGACACGGCCCAGACUCCUACGGGAGGCAGCAGUAGGGAAUCUUCGGCAAUGGACGCAAGUCUGACCGAGCAACGCCGCGUGAGUGAAGAAGGGUUUCGGAUCGUAAAACUCUGUUGUUAGAGAAGAACAAGGAUGAGAGUGGAAAGUUCAUCCCUUGACGGUAUCUAACCAGAAAGCCACGGCUAACUACGUG